CCUACGGGAGGCAGCAGUGGGGAAUUUUGGACAAUGGGCGAAAGCCUGAUCCAGCAAUGCCGCGUGAGUGAAGAAGGCCUUCGGGUUGUAAAGCUCUUUUGUCAGGGAAGAAACGGUGAAAGCUAAUAUCUUUUGCUAAUGACGGUACCUGAAGAAUAAGCACCGGCUAACUACGUGCCAGCAGCCGCGGUAAUACGUAGGGUGCAAGCGUUAAUCGGAAUUACUGGGCGUAAAGCGUGCGCAGGCGGUUUUGUAAGUCUGAUGUGAAAUCCCCGGGCUCAACCUGGGAAUUGCAUUGGAGACUGCAAGGCUAGAAUCUGGCAGAGGGGGGUAGAAUUCCACGUGUAGCAGUGAAAUGCGUAGAUAUGUGGAGGAACACCGAUGGCGAAGGCAGCCCCCUGGGUCAAGAUUGACGCUCAUGCACGAAAGCGUGGGGAGCAAACAGGAUUAGAUACCCUGGUAGUCCACGCCCUAAACGAUGUCUACUAGUUGUCGGGUCUUAAUUGACUUGGUAACGCAGCUAACGCGUGAAGUAGACCGCCUGGGGAGUACGGUCGCAAGNUUAAAACUCAAAGAGUAGUAGGACGUGAGACGUGCGACGGAGACGACAGGGAGGAGG
This 619-nucleotide ribosomal RNA is filed under the name uncultured bacterium. RNAcentral's name for it is "bacterial SSU rRNA". It matches the Rfam family "Bacterial small subunit ribosomal RNA", at positions 338 to 956 of the family's 1533-position model. The record is from RNAcentral.